Molecule: long non-coding RNA, 2966 nt
Organism: Lolium rigidum
Lineage: Eukaryota; Viridiplantae; Streptophyta; Magnoliopsida; Poales; Poaceae
Exons: 2
Source: RefSeq, a predicted model, not a curated record
CGACAUCGGGAGGCCUCGGUCGUGAGCGGCGGUCAGCAUCGGCACUGCUGGGUUUGGAGCACGCUGGUGGGCUUUGACGUCAAGAUUUGAACUAUCAGAUGCAACUGCUGAUACACCGAUGUCCUGAAUAUUUUGUUGUGAGGCUGAGCAACACUUCGCACGGCUGCAGCACCGAGAGCUCAUGGGAGGCCAAAACAAACAGGUUCAUGGCAAGCUUGUAACAUCGGCCAAGAGAAGCACAUUCAACCUCACUGGAGAGAGAGACGGUGCUACUAUCAGAAUUAGGAGAACAAGAGCUAAAUCUUGAAGGUGAUUCCACAAAUUAAAUCUUGUUUGGUCUGUUUGUUUAUGUUGGAGAAUCAUCUUUCUCCCCUUGGCAGCUCAAUUAUCUUUUUCUCAACAUGUAUAAUUUGGGGAAAUAUUGAUUUUUUGUUGUUCAGCCACUGCAUUGUCACACCAUCGGAACUCAUGUUGAAUUUACAUCGUCCGGAUGAUGGUGAUAAAUACGAAGUGAGGACCAAAACCAACCAAAAUAUUGGAUGAAACCUCGUUCUUGCGAUAUGUAGUUCUCGUCGAGUAUUUUUUCUGGUUAAUAUUGUCUUGCAGUGUCAAAGUUUCUACCACAUGUCUAGAUAUAGCCAGUUUUUGGCAAUUAUUGUGAACCGGAGGGAGUACUUUUCUUAUAUCACCUGAAUGUCGCAUACUUGGAUUCGUAAGUCGCGAGUACGAUUCUGAAAUUAUAGCAUAGUUGUACUCGGAAGCCUGUUCUAUUAAUUUGCGUUGAUCUAAUUUUUGACUGAUGCAUCUUAUAUGGAGCAUUUUGCAGUUGAUACCCAGCUAGUAGCUCAUCAAUUAGGGCUCCUUAAUCCCCCAUGAUUGUGUUUUCAGUCACAAACAUACACAGCUUAGUGCUUCUUUAGUUAUUCUGUGACAUCAGUACUUUCCUUUAUUUAUCAUUGCGGAUUUAAAUCAUCCCAAAAGUUGUCGGAAGCUGCUUCGAAAUGUAAUUUCUUUUAAUCAUAAAGCUGCUUCAUGUGUGCUACUUUACUGAUUUAGGUGGUCCACAACCAGGGAAAGGCUCUGGCUGCUUCUUUCUUUGCCCUGUCACUUUUGAUUACCACCCCAUCUCUACCAUUUUGAAUGAGUAAGUGACAUUUCUCUCCAAUUGUGCAUUAUCUUGGUUUGUUAUUGUUCAAUUUUAAUUAUUGUUGAUGUAAGAAAUAAAUCUUGAGAUAGGCAAUUCGGCAUCUUUUUAAAUUUGUUGGCAUCAAUUGUAUUUCCAAUUUAAUGCUAUUUCAUUACUUUCAGAUGCAUAUACUCUGUAUUUGGUUACUGAUUUGUUUACGUUUUUUCUUUGGAAAUGUUUAGGGGCUAGAGUAUAUAUACUUGAUUGCUUAUCUUGAAUUUGGCCGCAUAGGAUCUGACAAGCUUCUAAAUAUGUUGAGCUGUACUGAUCAUGGUGUGAAAACAAACAAACAAAAUUCUCUUGUGGAGAUCAUCUUACCUUUGCAAUUGUUCAAUCUUUGCCAAAGGAAAAUCUCCGGUUGGAAAUUAUAUUCAGUUAUUUAAUUCUUAUGCUAAUUCUAUGUCCAUUUUGUUGGAUGUCUGGUGAUGUUCAAGAUAUUAAGGGCAUUGUGCCUGGAUGCCAAGUGAAAAUUAGAACCGCGUUACGUCCUUGUGGUAGUGGUAAAAACCCUGCUGAUACAUGUUUAUAUAUCUGAAUGUAUGCUAUUCUUCCAGCUGAUAGUAGGCAUUCUAUUAAUGUAAUUACUAUGAUAUAAGCAAAUUACUUUUACGAGGUUCUUCUGUCAUUGGGGCUUCACAUGGUCCACUAGGGAUUUCUGUACCUGCUUAAUCAAGCUAAAAGAAGAUAAAUUACAUUAGCACCCCAAACAAUGGAUAAAAACUGAUCACAGAAGUAACUGACUGAUCAUAUAAACAAGGGUAGAUUGGCUACAGAAAACAACAAAAUAUUUUUUGCCUGCACCUCUUUACGGCAGUAGGGCACUACAAGGAAAUUUGCUGUCAAAUAUUUAAACAGUUAAAGUUACGGUACAGCUCUGUAUACUGCUCUAUAGCAGUCAAAUAAAUCUCUCAGUUUCUGAACUUAAUUUAAAGAUGUUCAAAUGCUUGUUUGCACGCUCUCUAAAAAACCCGCCUUCAAUUGAAGCCCUUGAUAAAUUUAUGCCUGUUAUCUAGACAGAAUAGUUGGCCCAUCGGACUAAUUUUUUUCAGAAGGUGCUGGCAGGUUGAUACUCAACUGCAACGGUAAGAAUCUGUCGUGUUAGUACUAAUGCCAAGUAGUGUUUAAAAAUCUGGAUGGACGUUUCUUUUGUCGCCUAUAAUGUUGCUUGCUGCUUCUUUCUUUACCACCCAAUUUCUACCAAUUUGGAUGAGUAAGUGAUGAUUUUCUCUCCAUUGUGUACCAUGUUGCUUCGUAUUUGUUAAAUUUUAUUGUUGCUGUAAAAAAUUAAUCUUGAGGUAAGUACUUCUGUUUUUUCUGCAAUUGCAUCUCCAAUGUAAUGUCAUGGCCUUCAAGAUUACCGAUCGAUGGUAUCUAACCUGACUUUUUACGAUAAUCCUUCAACAUGAGAUUUUAUUUGUCUUUCUUUUCAUUACGGAUCGAUGAAGGUUACAAGAAGACCAUCACCAACCUUAGCAGGCCAAAGUCUUUGAGUUCCUCAAAUAAUAUCAUAUUAUGAAUGUGCUGUCCUGUUUAUGUGUGUGAGAACAUGAUAUGGCUAGAGGAAGGAACAAUGUCUCAGCUACUUCUUACAAGGACAAGAUAUUAUUCUGGAAGCGCGGACAAUAUACCGUUUGCACUAGUUGAUCUUAGUAUACAAAGAUGUCAGCUUGUAAUUUGUAUACAUAGGUUAGGUUAGAUUUUGAUAAUGAGGUAGGUUCGCACAUUUGGUGAUCCAGAAUGUACAAACUUUACCUUCAUAAAUUCCAAAUCCUUUUGCCUA